AGUCGACGGGAGAAUUGCUAGCUUGCUAAUAAUUCUCUAGUGGCGCACGGGUGAGUAACACGUGAGUAACCUGCCCCCAAGAGUGGGAUAGCCCCGGGAAACUGGGAUUAAUACCGCAUAAAAUCGCAAGAUUAAAGCAGCAAUGCGCUUGGGGAUGGGCUCGCGUCCUAUUAGUUAGUUGGUGAGGUAACGGCUCACCAAGGCGAUGACGGGUAGCCGGUCUGAGAGGAUGUCCGGCCACACUGGAACUGAGACACGGUCCAGACACCUACGGGUGGCAGCAGUCGAGAAUCAUUCACAAUGGGGGAAACCCUGAUGGUGCGACGCCGCGUGGGGGAAUGAAGGUCUUCGGAUUGUAAGCCCCUGUCAUGUGGGAGCAAAUUAAAAAGAUAGUACCACAAGAGGAAGAGACGGCUAACUCUGUGCCAGCAGCCGCGGUAAUACAGAGGUCUCAAGCGUUGUUCGGAAUCACUGGGCGUAAAGCGUGCGUAGGCGGUUUCGUAAGUCGUGUGUGAAAGGCGGGGGCUCAACCCCCGGACUGCACAUGAUACUGCGAGACUAGAGUAAUGGAGGGGGAACCGGAAUUCUCGGUGUAGCAGUGAAAUGCGUAGAUAUCGAGAGGAACACUCGUGGCGAAGGCGGGUUCCUGGACAUUAACUGACGCUGAGGCACGAAGGCCAGGGGAGCGAAAGGGAUUAGAUACCCCUGUAGUCCUGGC
Molecule: ribosomal RNA, 718 nt
Filed under: uncultured bacterium
Lineage: Bacteria
Description: bacterial SSU rRNA
Rfam family: Bacterial small subunit ribosomal RNA
Source: RNAcentral